RNAcentral lists this ribosomal RNA (253 nucleotides) under uncultured bacterium. RNAcentral's name for it is "partial 16S ribosomal RNA". It matches the Rfam family "Bacterial small subunit ribosomal RNA", at positions 524 to 776 of the family's 1533-position model. The record is from RNAcentral.
UACAGAGGGGGCGAGCGUUAUCCGGAAUGAUUGGGCGUAAAGCGUCCGCAGGUGGCUAUGUAAGUCUGCUGUUAAAGAGUCUGGCUCAACCAGAUAAAGGCAGUGGAAACUACAUGGCUAGAGUGCGUUCGGGGCAGAGGGAAUUCCUGGUGUAGCGGUGAAAUGCGCAGAUAUCAGGAGGAACACCAAUGGCGAAGGCAGCUCGCUGGAACGGUACUGACGCUGAGGCGCGAAAGCGUGGGGAGCAAACAGG